RNAcentral lists this ribosomal RNA (253 nucleotides) under uncultured bacterium. Its description in RNAcentral is "partial 16S ribosomal RNA". It matches the Rfam family "Bacterial small subunit ribosomal RNA", at positions 524 to 776 of the family's 1533-position model. The record is from RNAcentral.
UACGAAGGGGGCUAGCGUUACUCGGAUUGACUGGGCGUAAAGGGCGCGUAGGCGGUUUGUACAGUCAGACGUGAAAUUCCUGGGCUCAACCUGGGGGCUGCGUUUGAUACGUGCAGACUUGAGUUCGGAAGAGGGUCGUGGAAUUCCCAGUGUAGAGGUGAAAUUCGUAGAUAUUGGGAAGAACACCGGUGGCGAAGGCGGCGACCUGGUCCUGGACUGACGCUGAGGCGCGAAAGCGUGGGGAGCAAACAGG